Molecule: ribosomal RNA, 255 nt
Filed under: uncultured bacterium
Lineage: Bacteria
Description: partial 16S ribosomal RNA
Rfam family: Bacterial small subunit ribosomal RNA
Source: RNAcentral
CAAACUGAAGAUGGCGACCGGCGCACGGGUGAGUAACACGUAUCCAACCUGCCGAUAACUCCGGAAUAGCCUUUCGAAAGAAAGAUUAAUACCGGAUGGCAUACGAAUAUCGCAUGAUAUUUUUAUUAAAGAAUUUCGGUUAUCGAUGGGGGUGCGUUCCAUUAGUUUGUUGGCGGGGUAACGGCCCACCAAGACUACGAUGGAUAGGGGUUCUGAGAGGAAGGUCCCCCACAUUGGAACUGAGACACGGUCCAA